RNAcentral lists this ribosomal RNA (854 nucleotides) under uncultured bacterium. RNAcentral's name for it is "bacterial SSU rRNA". It matches the Rfam family "Bacterial small subunit ribosomal RNA", at positions 8 to 854 of the family's 1533-position model. The record is from RNAcentral.
AGAGUUUGAUCCUGGCUCAGGAUGAACGCUAGCUACAGGCUUAACACAUGCAAGUCGCGGGGCAGCAUGAAUUUAGCUUGCUAAAUUUGAUGGCGACCGGCGCACGGGUGAGUAACGCGUAUCCAACCUUCCCCUGUCCACGGGAUAGCCCGUCGAAAGGCGGAUUAAUACCGUAUGAGGUCACAUGACGGCAUCAGAGUGUGACGAAAGGUUUGGCGGACAGGGGUGGGGAUGCGUCCGAUUAGCUUGUUGGCGGGGUAACGGCCCACCAAGGCUACGAUCGGUAGGGGUUCUGAGAGGAAGGUCCCCACAUUGGAACUGAGACACGGUCCAAACUCCUACGGGAGGCAGCAGUGAGGAAUAUUGGUCAAUGGGCGAGAGCCUGAACCAGCCAAGUAGCGUGCAGGAUGACGGCCCUAUGGGUUGUAAACUGCUUUUAUGCGGGGAUAACGUGCACCACGUGUGGUGUAUUGCAGGUACCGCAUGAAUAAGGACCGGCUAAUUCCGUGCCAGCAGCCGCGGUAAUACGGAAGGUCCGGGCGUUAUCCGGAUUUAUUGGGUUUAAAGGGAGCGUAGGCCGCUGUUUAAGCGUGUUGUGAAAAACCGGGGCUCAACUCCGGUCGUGCAGCGCGAACUGGACGGCUUGAGUGCGCGGUAAGUGGGCGGAAUUUGUGGUGUAGCGGUGAAAUGCUUAGAUAUCACGAAGAACUCCGAUUGCGAAGGCAGCUCACUGUAGCGCAACUGACGCUGAAGCUCGAAAGUGCGGGUAUCGAACAGGAUUAGAUACCCUGGUAGUCCGCACGGUAAACGAUGGAUGCCCGCUGUUCCGACUAUUAGUAGGAGUGGCCAAGCGA